UAUUUCGAACCGCAUGGUUCGAUAGUGAAAGAUGGUUUUGCUAUCACUUAUAGAUGGACCCGCGCCGUAUUAGCUAGUUGGUAAGGUAACGGCUUACCAAGGCGACGAUACGUAGCCGACCUGAGAGGGUGAUCGGCCACACUGGAACUGAGACACGGUCCAGACUCCUACGGGAGGCAGCAGUAGGGAAUCUUCCGCAAUGGGCGAAAGCCUGACGGAGCAACGCCGCGUGAGUGAUGAAGGUCUUCGGAUCGUAAAACUCUGUUAUUAGGGAAGAACAUACGUGUAAGUAACUAUGCACGUCUUGACGGUACCUAAUCAGAAAGCCACGGCUAACUACGUGCCAGCAGCCGCGGUAAUACGUAGGUGGCAAGCGUUAUCCGGAAUUAUUGGGCGUAAAGCGCGCGUAGGCGGUUUUUUAAGUCUGAUGUGAAAGCCCACGGCUCAACCGUGGAGGGUCAUUGGAAACUGGAAAACUUGAGUGCAGAAGAAGAAAGUGGAAUUCCAUGUGUAGCGGUGAAAUGCGCAGAGAUAUGGAGGAACACCAGUGGCGAAAGCGACUUUCUGGUCUGUAACUGACACUCAUAUGCGAAAACGUGGGGAUCACACAGGAUUAGAUACCCUGGUAGUCCACGCCCUAUACGAUGAGUGCUAUAUGUUAUGGGGGUUUCUCCCCCUUAUUGCUGCAGCUAACGCAUUAUACACUCUCCCCGCGGGGUACGACCGCCCCGGUGGAUACUCACACGAAGUGAUGGGGGAGGCGCCACAACCGGUGGAGCAGAUGGUGUUAUUUCUAAGCA
Molecule: ribosomal RNA, 800 nt
Filed under: Staphylococcus haemolyticus
Lineage: Bacteria; Bacillati; Bacillota; Bacilli; Caryophanales; Staphylococcaceae
Description: bacterial SSU rRNA
Rfam family: Bacterial small subunit ribosomal RNA
Source: RNAcentral